UAUAUCUAUGUUCAUUAGUAAAAUUAAAAGAUACAAAAAUAUGGUUAAAAUUCUCAAAUUUAUUUAUGCUAUAAUUUUGUUUUUGUCCUUAUUCUUUCUUUCAGUGAAGGCUAUCGUUCCAUGUGAAACUGAUGAAGAUUGUUCAAAGGCGUAUAUUAACGAGAAUAUGUUUGGUAGCCUUCUCGUGUGCCGUAAUAAAGAAUGUUGUUUGCUUGUGUUUUAUGAAUAAUAUAUCUUAUGUUUCACAUGCUGCCAUCAGUCCUGCAUCAAAUCCAACAGUUAGGAGAUUUUAAAGGAAGGAAAUAAAUUUAAGAAAAUUGCAUUGUGAAAAAAUAAGUGUUGGAAAUUGAAGCUGGGCAGAGGGCAGGAGAGAAAAAAAAAAGAGACGAUCUGGAUCCAAUAACCUUAAGAUUGUGGAGUUUUGUCUUAUAGUGCAAUAACACUACUACAAAUUAUGAUUUUAUGACAGAAGUUUACAUCUCGAAUAAUAAACGAAGGAGGAUAUAAGUCCUAGAAGCGCCAUGUAUUAUUUUUAUUUAUUUAAAAUGAAUAAUUUUUUUUAUCAGGUUUUAAGAAAAACAAGGAAAUAUAGUUAUAAGGAAGCUCGCUU
Molecule: long non-coding RNA, 610 nt
Organism: Vicia villosa (hairy vetch)
Lineage: Eukaryota; Viridiplantae; Streptophyta; Magnoliopsida; Fabales; Fabaceae
Exons: 3
Source: RefSeq, a predicted model, not a curated record